AGCGAACGCUGGCGGCAGGCCUAACACAUGCAAGUCGAACGGAUCCUUCGGGAUUAGUGGCGGACGGGUGAGUAACACGUGGGAACGUGCCUUUUGGUUCGGAACAACUCAGGGAAACUUGAGCUAAUACUGAAUGUGCCCUUCGGGGAAAGAUUUAUCGCCAUUAGAGCGGCCCGCGUCUGAUUAGCUAGUUGGUGGGGUAAAGGCUCACCAAGGCUACGAUCAGUAGCUGGUCUGAGAGGAUGAUCAGCCACAUUGGGACUGAGACACGGCCCAAACUCCUACGGGAGGCAGCAGUGGGGAAUCUUGCGCAAUGGGCGAAAGCCUGACGCAGCCAUGCCGCGUGAAUGAUGAAGGUCUUAGGAUUGUAAAAUUCUUUCACCGGGGACGAUAAUGACGGUACCCGGAGAAGAAGCCCCGGCUAACUUCGUGCCAGCAGCCGCGGUAAU
Molecule: ribosomal RNA, 449 nt
Filed under: uncultured bacterium
Lineage: Bacteria
Description: bacterial SSU rRNA
Rfam family: Bacterial small subunit ribosomal RNA
Source: RNAcentral